GGGGUGGGAUGAGGGCGUGUUUUCUAGCCCUGCCGUAGCUACACGUAGCCUUCCGCGCGGCUGAGCGCAUACGCAGUUUUCGUGCUGUAUCUAGCCGCCAACCAUAUCUCGGAGGUUGUCUGCGGCUGGUGCAAAGAUUUUUCGAACCGAUAUGGCUAAUGGCUUCAUGCGCGGUUUCUUACCGCGUCCCUAGUGUUGGAGGUCACAUAGUUUAAGUUUCCGAGACGCAGUGAAGCGAGUGGCAGUACAAUGCGUUCGUUGCCGCUUCCAGCCCCCUUCACCACUCCAGCGUUAUGACAACGAGGGAUCGCGGUCGGCUGGCCACCCAAUGCUUCGCUUGCGAUGGCACCAACUAAGGAAACUGAUGCGACAAGUGGCGCAGAAAGGCAACGAUGUCAACGGGCGAAUUUCGCUUUUGUCCGGCGAGAGACACGCCAGCAUGGAGCAGAACGCCUUCGCGCGUUCGUGGCGAACUCUGCCACUCCCAUUCCUGAAGCUUAGUGCAUCGCAACUGGCUGCUCAAGACAUUACGGAGCCGGACCAAGAUGCUCGUACCUUCGCCGCACCGACUCUGCAGCAGGAGGCCGAUCGCCAACAGGACGCCACGUGACAAGCAAACCUGCAACACGGUUGCCGGCCCGCAAAUCGUGCGCCUUUUGCUGCAGCAUACCUUGAGUCUAUAUCUUUUUUAAGAGAUUACUUGUUAACAGAGCAAGGACUAUAGCGAUUGUAGCCAUGGAAGCCUGACAAAGACGUUACGGUAACAGCCAUCAUAGAAAUGUGUUCAGUCAACGCUGCUUAAACUCGCUGCCAUUGCCAAACUACCCUAUUCACUCGAACCUUUUUUUUCUUUUUAUCUGUUUCGAACAGUCAUGUCCGGAAUAAGGGAAACGUGAGGGCUGUCUAAGACAAAAGAGUUGCAGGCCAGAAACAACAAGAACCGGCAAUUGUUGGCCAUUGUGUGAUUAAAUAGAAAUGUGCUAACGCCUA
This is a long non-coding RNA of Dermacentor albipictus, 990 nucleotides long. RefSeq lists it as uncharacterized. NCBI's taxonomy places the organism in Eukaryota, Metazoa, Arthropoda, Arachnida, Ixodida, Ixodidae. The record is from RefSeq and is a predicted model, not a curated record.